Molecule: microRNA precursor, 170 nt
Filed under: Triticum aestivum (bread wheat)
Lineage: Eukaryota; Viridiplantae; Streptophyta; Magnoliopsida; Poales; Poaceae
Description: MIR2118 microRNA precursor family
Rfam family: MIR2118 microRNA precursor family
Source: Rfam by way of RNAcentral
ACCGGGAAGAGGAAGAAUGAGAGGGUCCAAGAGUAAUAUGAAUGGGAACAUCGAGGAAAGCAUGAGCUUUCUAGAUUUCCUCUCCUUACAAUGGAGAGAUCUUGCUCUGUGUUUUUCCGAUGCCUCCCAUUCCUAUUGUUCUUGGGUGCUCCUUCCCCUUCCUUUUGGCU